GACGAACCGUGCGAACGUUGUUCGGAAUCACUGGGCUUAAAGGGUGCGUAGGCGGGCUCGAAAGUCAGGGGUGAAAUCCCACGGCUCAACCGUGGAAGGGCCUUUGAUACUGCGAGUCUAGAGGGAGGUAGGGGCGUGCGGAACUUCCGGUGGAGCGGUGAAAUGCGUAGAUAUCGGAAGGAACACCGGUGGCGAAAGCGGCGCGCUGGACCUCAACUGACGCUGAGGCACGAAAGCCAGGGGAGCAAACGGG
This 253-nucleotide ribosomal RNA is filed under the name uncultured bacterium. RNAcentral describes it as "partial 16S ribosomal RNA". It matches the Rfam family "Bacterial small subunit ribosomal RNA", at positions 524 to 776 of the family's 1533-position model. The record is from RNAcentral.